RNAcentral lists this transfer-messenger RNA (348 nucleotides) under Acutalibacteraceae. Its description in RNAcentral is "Ruminococcus_E sp902784855 Standard tmRNA". It matches the Rfam family "transfer-messenger RNA". Rfam says of the family: Bacterial tmRNA, also known as 10Sa RNA or SsrA, is named for its dual tRNA and mRNA-like properties. Its role is to liberate the mRNA from a stalled ribosome. To accomplish this part of the tmRNA is used as a reading frame that ends in a translation stop signal. The record is from RNAcentral. RNAcentral also lists the same sequence under 1 other name. Lineage: Bacteria; Bacillati; Bacillota; Clostridia; Eubacteriales.
GGGGAUGUAAAGGUUUCGACGGGGGAUGUGACCCCUGAUAAGCGAGCGGCGGUGCGGGACCGCCAUAAAAUCCGCAACUUAAAAAUAACUGAGAAAAAUACAGUUUCUUUAGCUGCUGCUUAAUGCAGCUCGUCUCUGCGCGGAGGACCUCGGCCGCGUAAGAGGCGUCGAUCAGAGGUAAAGGUGAACAGGGCUCUGCUUCGCGCCCCGUCAUCCAUCAGAAGCUACCGACCCGCGCAGCCUGUCGUUAGGCGGCGCGGCGGGGGAAUCGCAAUAUAGCGACUGCGCUCGGAGAAAUUCACGGCGAACAUCUUUCGGACAGGAGUUCGAUUCUCCUCAUCUCCACCA